CCUUUAAUUUCAGUAAUUCUGUUGGUGACCAUGGAGUGGUACGCACAAUAGUGUGGACCUCCUCAUCACUAUCAACAGCAGUCUCAGUUUUAAUCAGAGGUCUCAGGUGAACCAGCUCCUCUU
Molecule: long non-coding RNA, 123 nt
Organism: Strigops habroptila (Kakapo)
Lineage: Eukaryota; Metazoa; Chordata; Aves; Psittaciformes; Psittacidae
Exons: 3
Source: RefSeq, a predicted model, not a curated record